Molecule: ribosomal RNA, 118 nt
Filed under: Calamus fissus
Lineage: Eukaryota; Viridiplantae; Streptophyta; Magnoliopsida; Arecales; Arecaceae
Description: partial 18S ribosomal RNA
Rfam family: Eukaryotic small subunit ribosomal RNA
Source: RNAcentral
GUGGCGAUGAGAUGGUCCGCUGCUCGUGACGUUGUGAGAAGUCCACUGAACCUUAUCAUUUAGAGGAAGGAGAAGUUGUAACAAGGUUUCCAUAAGUGAACCUGAGGAAGGAUCGUUA